This 97-nucleotide non-coding RNA is filed under the name Reticulomyxa filosa. RNAcentral describes it as "Glycine sequence". It matches the Rfam family "Glycine riboswitch aptamer". Rfam says of the family: This family represents the bacterial glycine riboswitch. The record is from Rfam by way of RNAcentral. Lineage: Eukaryota; Foraminifera; Reticulomyxidae.
CCCGCAGAAUCUGGAGAGCGGCGCACAGGAUGCGCCCACCGAAGGGGCUAACGGCGCAACGCCGGAAAAUCUCAGGUGCAGGGACAGAGGGGUGUGA